AAAAAAAAAAAGACAAAAAAUUAUAUAAGAAGAAAGAAGAUGAUGAAAUUACACUAUUAAAAUAAAAUUAUAUUGUUUUAAAAUAAAUUUGUACUGUUUUAAUAAACUAGCACUAUUUGAUAUAAAAAUUAUACUAUUUUGGAAUGGAUUUUACACUAUUAAGACUAACGUUACACUAUUUAGAAAAAUUUUACACAAUUUCUUUUCUUUUUCUUUUUCUCUUUCUCUUCUUCUUCUUCCGCUGCUGCCUCCCGCCCGACCCGCGAAGGCGCG
This 273-nucleotide long non-coding RNA is filed under the name Ananas comosus (pineapple). RNAcentral describes it as "long non-coding RNA (ACOM_LNC027474)". The record is from RNAcentral. Lineage: Eukaryota; Viridiplantae; Streptophyta; Magnoliopsida; Poales; Bromeliaceae.